CUUGGAGGAGUAUUUGAUUGGGCUAAUGAAUCUCCACUUGUCGUAGCCGCUUUAUUAAAGGAUUGUCUUCGACUGAUCCCCAGUACUAUUUUUACGAAACAACUGUACUGUAAGUGGAUUAGUGUUCUUGACAAACAGGAUGAAGAGAAAGCCACGGAGAUCAAGAGGCUCUUACAAAAUCUGCCUGUAUGUAAUCUGGAUAUACUCAAGGAAUUGUGCUCUUGUUUAUAUGAGAUCUCUGCGAAUGCCUCUUUCAAUAUGAUGAAUGCAUCAGAGUUAGCAGUUUCAAUCACACCAAGCAUAUUUUACCUUUGGGAAUCAACAUCAACGAACUCAUCCCCGGAAACUGAAUUACUUAAAAAGGUAAUGAUGUGUCCCAUUUCCAUUGUGAUGAGCCAAAGUUUACAAAUGAAAGAUGCCAUACACCCUUCUAGAAUGCCAGGGUCAUUUAUUCUAUAUUAAGAGGAAACAGAAGUGUGAGCUGCUAAAACGUAGGGAAGAAACUUCCAUACCAUUACAGAAGGAAAUAGGGGUUUUCGUGUCUGGGCAGUCCGAGGUGGACUUUUGCCUCUCGUCAUUCAGGACCAUGUAAACCUGAACAGUUUCUUUAUGAAGGCUUCCUUAGCUGAGCAGUGGCAGGAGUGUUGAUAAUAAUCUCCCGAGGUCAGCAGUGACACUGUCUGUUCAACAUGAGCACACAUAAUUCCCCGCUCAGUGUCCUUCCUCUCAGUGUUGCAGCUCAUUCAGUAAGAUGCUGUCUGCGUUUCA
Ochotona princeps (American pika) is the source of this 768-nucleotide long non-coding RNA. RefSeq lists it as uncharacterized. The transcript has 3 exons. NCBI's taxonomy places the organism in Eukaryota, Metazoa, Chordata, Mammalia, Lagomorpha, Ochotonidae. The record is from RefSeq and is a predicted model, not a curated record.